GCCUUCGUGGUGUAGUGGUCAGCCCGCUGGGCGCCUAAACCAAGAAGUCCGUGGUUCGAUUCCGGGCGAAGGCG
RNAcentral lists this transfer RNA (74 nucleotides) under Stegodyphus mimosarum. It matches the Rfam family "tRNA". From Rfam's summary of the family: Transfer RNA (tRNA) molecules are approximately 80 nucleotides in length. Their secondary structure includes four short double-helical elements and three loops (D, anti-codon, and T loops). Further hydrogen bonds mediate the characteristic L-shaped molecular structure. tRNAs have two regions of fundamental functional importance: the anti-codon, which is responsible for specific mRNA codon recognition, and the 3' end, to which the tRNAs corresponding amino acid is attached (by aminoacyl-tRNA synthetases). tRNAs cope with the degeneracy of the genetic code in two manners: having more than one tRNA (with a specific anti-codon) for a particular amino acid; and 'wobble' base-pairing, i.e. permitting non-standard base-pairing at the 3rd anti-codon position. Lineage: Eukaryota; Metazoa; Arthropoda; Arachnida; Araneae; Eresidae. The record is from Rfam by way of RNAcentral.